This 429-nucleotide ribosomal RNA is filed under the name Acidobacteriota bacterium. Its description in RNAcentral is "Acidobacteria bacterium partial 16S ribosomal RNA". It matches the Rfam family "Bacterial small subunit ribosomal RNA", at positions 355 to 776 of the family's 1533-position model. The record is from RNAcentral. Lineage: Bacteria; Pseudomonadati; Acidobacteriota.
UGGGGAAUUUUGGACAAUGGGGGAAACCCUGAUCCAGCCAUCCCGCGUGUGCGAUGAAGGCCUUCGGGUUGUAAAGCACUUUUGGCAGGAAAGAAACGUCAUGGGUUAAUACCCCGUGAAACUGACGGUACCUGCAGAAUAAGCACCGGCUAACUACGUGCCAGCAGCCGCGGUAAUACGUAGGGUGCAAGCGUUAAUCGGAAUUACUGGGCGUAAAGCGUGCGCAGGCGGUUCGGAAAGAAAGAUGUGAAAUCCCAGAGCUCAACUUUGGAACUGCAUUUUUAACUACCGGGCUAGGGUGUGUCAGAGGGAGGUGGAAUUCCGCGUGUAGCAGUGAAAGGCGUAGAUAUGCGGAGGAACACCGAUGGCGAAGGCAGCCUCCUGGGAUAACACUGACGCUCAUGCACGAAAGCGUGGGGAGCAAACAGG